Molecule: long non-coding RNA, 651 nt
Filed under: Lathyrus oleraceus (garden pea)
Lineage: Eukaryota; Viridiplantae; Streptophyta; Magnoliopsida; Fabales; Fabaceae
Description: Pisum sativum (pea) long non-coding RNA (PSAT_LNC022329)
Source: RNAcentral
GAGAUAUUUAGAAUAUUUUGUUUUAUUUCUGGGGCCCUGAUGUCAAAAAGUCACAUUAUAUAGUGCAUGUAGAAUGAAAACCACAUAUUUUCUAGAUGGAUAGAAUCUAUAGAUAGGUAUCUAAUGGUUCUUAUCUCAUUUGAUUGACAUGAAUGUUAGUGUGAAAUACGUUUUGAUAGACAAAGGAAACUGGGGUUCCCAACUUCCUGAAUAACCAUCUCAGCCUACCAGUAUGUUGGGCCAAGUGUUCCCCUCUAGGCUCUUAGGGACAAUGAUGGGCCAAAAGAAAUAGGAUGGAGAAGCAUUAAUACUCGACAAUUCACUAUUUCAGGUUCUGUCACUUUGAUGGAAGUAGGGAAAUCAUGACUAAUUUUUACUACUUCAAAACAUUGAUGGAUGUAGGCUUCAGAAUUGGUUCUUAUGAUUCCCUUCACACGAAAUUUGUUGGGCAUGUAGGUGUAUUUGUUACUCAUCUUAUAGAGUAAAAAAGAAUUGGUUCUUAUGGUUCUUAUGAUUCACAUGGUAACAAAGAAUUGUAAGAUAAAUGAGGUCGCCUCACAACUAUUUGUAUUUGUUGUAUCUUUGAGUUAACUAAUUUAUAUUGGAAUAUUUCACUUCAAGUGUGACACUAACUUCCAUAUAUAUAUAUAU